Molecule: non-coding RNA, 26 nt
Filed under: Mus musculus (house mouse)
Lineage: Eukaryota; Metazoa; Chordata; Mammalia; Rodentia; Muridae
Source: RNAcentral
GGUUAAGAUACAGAUCCUGCCUGGGA